GUUUUUUUUCUGUUUUUG
RNAcentral lists this small RNA (18 nucleotides) under Arabidopsis thaliana (thale cress). Its description in RNAcentral is "ATSL237430". Lineage: Eukaryota; Viridiplantae; Streptophyta; Magnoliopsida; Brassicales; Brassicaceae. The record is from RNAcentral.